This 226-nucleotide long non-coding RNA is filed under the name Hordeum vulgare. RNAcentral describes it as "long non-coding RNA (HVUL_LNC013535)". Lineage: Eukaryota; Viridiplantae; Streptophyta; Magnoliopsida; Poales; Poaceae. The record is from RNAcentral.
CCAUAUUGUCCUUCUACGUUUAGUGGGAAGUGAGUUGUACCGAAGAAGACCUCUUCUAGAAGAAGCGGAAAACCAAGGAACUGUAUAUCAAUACAUCAUGCUAUAUGCAAUCACCUGCUAAAAUUAACGUCAAAAAUCAGAACGAUCAGCCGGCUAUAGCUAGUGGCCGGAACCCUUGGGGCUGGGCCCGGCCGGCAGCCUCGCCAAGAGCAUAUCCACCGUGUCC